Molecule: ribosomal RNA, 846 nt
Filed under: Escherichia coli
Lineage: Bacteria; Pseudomonadati; Pseudomonadota; Gammaproteobacteria; Enterobacterales; Enterobacteriaceae
Description: partial 23S ribosomal RNA
Rfam family: Bacterial large subunit ribosomal RNA
Source: RNAcentral
UACUAUAGCUUGACACUGAACAUUGAGCCUUGAUGUGUAGGAUAGGUGGGAGGCUUUGAAGUGUGGACGCCAGUCUGCAUGGAGCCGACCUUGAAAUACCACCCUUUAAUGUUUGAUGUUCUAACGUUGACCCGUGAUCCGGGUUGCGGACAGUGUCUGGUGGGUAGUUUGACUGGGGCGGUCUCCUCCUAAAGAGUAACGGAGGAGCACGAAGGUUGGCUAAUCCUGGUCGGACAUCAGGAGGUUAGUGCAAUGGCAUAAGCCAGCUUGACUGCGAGCGUGACGGCGCGAGCAGGUGCGAAAGCAGGUCAUAGUGAUCCGGUGGUUCUGAAUGGAAGGGCCAUCGCUCAACGGAUAAAAGGUACUCCGGGGAUAACAGGCUGAUACCGCCCAAGAGUUCAUAUCGACGGCGGUGUUUGGCACCUCGAUGUCGGCUCAUCACAUCCUGGGGCUGAAGUAGGUCCCAAGGGUAUGGCUGUUCGCCAUUUAAAGUGGUACGCGAGCUGGGUUUAGAACGUCGUGAGACAGUUCGGUCCCUAUCUGCCGUGGGCGCUGGAGAACUGAGGGGGGCUGCUCCUAGUACGAGAGGACCGGAGUGGACGCAUCACUGGUGUUCGGGUUGUCAUGCCAAUGGCACUGCCCGGUAGCUAAAUGCGGAAGAGAUAAGUGCUGAAAGCAUCUAAGCACGAAACUUGCCCCGAGAUGAGUUCUCCCUGACUCCUUGAGAGUCCUGAAGGAACGUUGAAGACGACGACGUUGAUAGGCCGGGUGUGUAAGCGCAGCGAUGCGUUGAGCUAACCGGUACUAAUGAACCGUGAGGCUUAACCUUACAACGCCGAAGCUGUU